GCCGUAGGUGAACCUGCGGAGGGAUCAUUACUGAGUUUACGCUCUAUAACCCUUUGUGAACAUACCUAUAACUGUUGCUUCGGCGGGUAGGGUCUCCGUGACCCUCCCGGCCUCCCGCCCCCGGGCGGGUCGGCGCCCGCCGGAGGAUAACCAAACUCUGAUUUAACGACGUUUCUUCUGAGUGGUACAAGCAAAUAAUCAAAACUUUUAACAACGGAUCUCUUGGUUCUGGCAUCGAUGAAGAACGCAGCGAAAUGCGAUAAGUAAUGUGAAUUGCAGAAUUCAGUGAAUCAUCGAAUCUUUGAACGCACAUUGCGCCCGCCAGCAUUCUGGCGGGCAUGCCUGUUCGAGCGUCAUUUCAACCCUCAAGCUCUGCUUGGUGUUGGGGCCCUACAGCUGAUGUAGGCCCUCAAAGGUAGUGGCGGACCCUCCCGGAGCCUCCUUUGCGUAGUAACUUUACGUCUCGCACUGGGAUCCGGAGGGACUCUUGCCGUAAAACCCCCAAUUUUCCAAAGGUUGACCUCGGAUCAGGUAGGAAUACCCGCUGAACUUAAGCAUAUCAAUAAGCGGAGGC
RNAcentral lists this ribosomal RNA (574 nucleotides) under Colletotrichum gloeosporioides. RNAcentral describes it as "eukaryotic LSU rRNA". The stretch from base 203 to 356 matches the Rfam family "5.8S ribosomal RNA". Lineage: Eukaryota; Fungi; Ascomycota; Sordariomycetes; Glomerellales; Glomerellaceae. The record is from RNAcentral.